Brassica napus (rape) is the source of this 792-nucleotide long non-coding RNA. RefSeq lists it as uncharacterized. The transcript is spliced from 4 exons. NCBI's taxonomy places the organism in Eukaryota, Viridiplantae, Streptophyta, Magnoliopsida, Brassicales, Brassicaceae. The record is from RefSeq and is a predicted model, not a curated record.
UGCAUAUGCACGUUUCGAAACAACCUUCACGUAUAAAACUCAUUGUAUUUAUUGUUUUAGAAGUCUAUAUAUGGUAAUUGUAAUGACCCAAUCCCACCAUCUCCACUUCUUUCCCCAACCCCACCAUCUUCACCUUCUUUUCCACUAUCUCCACCCUCUUUCCCACCAUUUCCAUCUUCUAUAAUUCACAAACUUAGAAAGAAAGAAAGAGAGAGAGAAAGAAAAGAGAGAGAGAGGAAGAAGAGGAAGGGAGAAAGCUCACCUGAGCUCGUCGCCGGAGCAACCGUGCGCCGUGAUCACGUUCAGCUUGCCAGCACCGAUCAACACCCUAGGCCAUCAUCGUGUUCCUCUCGACGAGACGAAGCCGUAGCCGCCGACCGCGCCGCAAUCGGAGCCCGGAUGAGCCCGCACGCGCCUCCGGAAGUUUCGCCUCUGCGCGCGCGUGAGGUGCACGCGCCGCCGCCGGAAAUCGUCGCCGCCGCCUUCGCCGCCGAUUUGGAGUCCAUUUGAGCAGCUGGAGUUCAUAGAUACCACUUCUUAUUAUUGCUAAGGUGAGACCGACGAGCAGGAGUGAUUAUCGGACUGGUGCUAUUGGGCUUUUGGGUUUCUAUCGCUUUUACCGCUUUUAUCUUUAUCGGGCCUUUAGGCCUCUGGACUUUUAUCGUUUAUGUUAUUCCUAUUUCAGACUUUCGGUUUAUGUCGUAUUUUAUAUUUCGGAUGUUAUCGAUGUUGGGCUUUUAGGCCUUUUGGUACCGUAUUGACUUUUAUAUUAUGAUAUGAAGAUUAUUAUUA